This 69-nucleotide transfer RNA is filed under the name Chelus fimbriata (Mata Mata). Its description in RNAcentral is "tRNA-Val". The record is from RNAcentral. Lineage: Eukaryota; Metazoa; Chordata; Testudines; Chelidae.
CAAGACAUAACUUAAACUUAGAGUACCCAGCUUACACCUGAACGAUGCCCAAUAAAUGGGCUGUCUUGA